UAUUAGGUAUUGUUAUAUCUGCAAAGAACUUAUAAGAUGAAGUAUUAUUCUAACAUACAGAACUGGCAAAGAAUGGAAAUUUAAAAUUCUAUAAGAAAAGCUUAAACGAAAAAUCCCAGCAAAGGUGAUCAUGUACGAAUGUGGAUAGUUAGGCACUCAUGAAGCACAUAAUUCUAGUAUUGCCCAUGGUAAAUUCAUAUCAAUAUUCACCAAAGUAUUUUUUCCUCUACACAGGAAAAGAAAGAAAUAAAAGCAAAACGAUUUCGGAAUCACUCCCUAUAACCACGGAAAUGAUUUUAAUUACCAAUUCAUCUGUUGGCAGACUCUUCUGGCAGAUGUACCUGCAACUUGGAAAGAUAACAAAUGAACCAAUUCCUUACUCCAGAGUUGACACUGAUAGUGCUUACUGAAUUUGCUCUCAAAAAAGAAUCCUGGGCAACAAUACAUCUGGCACUCUGCUCGAGGAAUUUGUCAUGUCAUUGACGUGUUCAGCCUCCAUUGUCCACACCACCCUGACAGCAGACCUCCGACUAUGUGAAGAUACAGUGGGAAGAUGACUGUCCGCAAGACAGGAAGAGAGCCCUCACUGAGGAACCAAAUUGGCCAGUAUCUUGAUCUUGGAUUUCUCAGCCUCGAGAACCAUGAGAAAUGAAUGUCUGUUGUUCAAGCCACCCAGUCUAUGGUAUUUUGUUAUGGCAGCCCCAGCUGACCAAGAUAGUGCAUAUGAAUUUAAUGAGCAUUGAGAAGAGCUAACAUUUUUCAUUUUUUCCCUUAGAAGCAUCUAUCGAUCUUCAUCUGAAAUUAUGUAUCAGAAACUGCAAUAAUGGAAAUAAAGAGAAUGGGCUAGGUAGUGUAAGAAUAGGGCUAAGGUUAUGUAAAUGAGGGAGAGUUUCAAGAGAUGAGUUUCAGUAGCCUUUUAAAUAAAAUGCACCCUAUAAACCAAAUGCAUUAGUUAAGGAGCUGUGGACAUCAGUUUCUCCUUAUAAAGACUGCAUAUGCCUUUUAGUUACCAUCUUGGACAAGUCACGAAUGAUUCCUUUCCUCCAGGGUGUCCUGUGGAAUAUCUUCCUUGUCUCCCUCAACAUAGAGGAACUAUCCACCAUUUUCCAUUAAAUAGCCUAGAAUUAGGUGUGUUUCAGAAUCACGUGUAUAUAUGUACAUGGUGGUUGGAUGUGGGUGGAUUGGGAAGGACUUGUUAAGAUGCCCAUGCCUGAAUUCCUCCCAGAUCCACUAAAUCAGGAUUGUCAGCUGUGGUGCCCAAAUUACCUAAGUUAAAAGCCACUCUAAGUGCUUCUGAUUCAUGCCAGACUUGACAUCCAUAGACCAAUGUUCUCAUUCAUUGAUACACGUAUUCAAGUUUACUACCUAGGCAGAUCUUUCUAUAGGUUAUAUAUGUGAGUUUAAAAACGGGUACAUUUAAUUUUUAUAAAUGGAAAUCCAUUUAAGACACUUUCGGCCAAUGGUUUUGAGGAGAGCCCAUUAGAAUACCGGCUGGGCUACCCCAUUCCCUCAUUGCACACCUUUCUUCUGCCUUUGCCAUAGGUUGCUUAGUUUCUCAGUCUGCCUGUCUGGUCUGAGUUAGAAAGAAAAACGGGCAUCUCACAGUUCCUAGCAAUUUAUUUUGCAAAAGAAUGCAGUAGAAAUUUCUAUUUUAAUGUAAAAAAAUCCUUUGAGUAAGUAGUUUUCCCUCUCUCCAAUAUAUUUUCUUAUUAUUCUGUAUAUUUAAUAAUGGGAUUAUGUGUUAUAAACACGUGCUUAGACAUCCAAUAUAUGCACAGAUGGAAAAUAUCAAGCUUGCAGGAAAGGUCCAUCCCCCAAACACAAUUUUAAGGGGUUUUGCCUUUGUUUUCUCUAAGGAAUACAAAAGUCAGAUUUGAAAAAAGGAGUUUUAGGGAAUUCUGUCGCUAGUCUCCUAAUUUCCACCAAAUGCUAAUUCUGAUGUUGUCUUUUUGAUUUUUAGUGGUCUUUAGAGAAUUGUUGGGGUUGGGGAUGGGUAGGAAGUGGAUUGAGGAUGCGGAAGAGUUCCUAUCUGAUGUCUGACCAACGAAUUGUUAGAUAAACUAGUCACGUAGAAAACAGCUUAAUUUAUCUGAGAGAGAUAAUAGCGACUCCCAGGAUCCAGCCUGCCCCGUAACAACCCAGAGGACUUCUUUCCUGAGGUUUACAGAAUACAUUGAUUGGUGAAUCAACUAGAUGUAGUAAAUAUGUAAAAAUUAUACUGCAAAAAUUUUUUAAAAAUUGUAAAAUAAGUACAUAUUUUUGGAAGAGUUUAUGGGGAAAAAGUAAUGCAGAGGAAAAAAAAGAAGGGAGAAAAUAUGGGCCAAGGUGCUGCUUUCAGAAUCAGACACAUGUGGAUUAGAUUCCAGUGUUAGUUGUUGUAUGCCCUUGGGUAGUUAUGUCAUACUUCUAAGCCAAUGUUGUCAUCUGUUAAAUGGGAACAGUAUCUCUCUCACAUGGCUAUGGUAAGGGUUUGCUAAAGUAUUUAUUUUACAGUCUGUAAAAGGAUUUAGAAAAAUGCCUGAUAUACAGUAGCUGUUAACACAAUACAUCUGAGAUAAUAGUAUUGAUAUUGCUGGCAGCAGAGAGUGGUAGUUACUAAGUAUAUUUUUUCUGGACGUGCAGUCCUGACUUUGAACCCCUUUUGGUUUGAGGCAGAACUACUGCUAUUGGCAUUUCUAGCACUAAGUCUACAUGAUAUUUUAAAGAAUUUGUUGAGAGCUCUUAAAUUAUUACUAUUAUUAUCAAGAAAUAGAUUUGUUAUGUCUGUUUUCAUGAUUUAUUAACUGAAAUUCUGUAAUCCUUGCCUUAAGCUUACAAGCAUUCUUCUUAGUUUGAUUUUUAAAAUACCCUCAGAAACCAAUAAUGUUCACAAGAAGUAAGAAAUCUUUGCAAUAAUAUUUCGUUGUAUCAUCAUAUUUUUUCUUUCCUGAAAAACCAAUGAAGAAUGGCAGUUUUAUAUGUAAAACAGUAGUUAGCCUUUAUAUGGAUGACAUUUUCCUAAAAGCCUAGAAAAAUUUCACAUUUGCAGAAAAAUACUCUGUUCCCAUAUUAAAUCUGAUUAAAAUUCAAAUCUAUAUUAACAUCUCAUUACGUUUUGAAAAAAGUGAAUGCCAGCCACACUUAAUGGAAAAUGCUCACUGUCUGUCUCACUGCUUUUGUGGGCUUCUUAGCAAGGCUGUCCUGGGAUCCGGGAGGGCUGGACCACAGCUAUAUCCUUAUUAAAACAGUCACCCGGCGUGAAUGUUGGCCUUUAGUUUUUCCUUCCUUUCCCCUCUCCCAUCCCUACAUUGUUUCAGCUGCCAGCUCCCUAAUAUUUUUCUCUGAAGCAAGGGAAAGGGAAGGGCAAAAAUGACUUAGAAAGAAUAACAUUUCUUUCUAUGGACUUAAAUAGAACAUUCAACACAAAACAUCCUGUGUUUUCUUUUAGUUGAUGACACACCGACUGUAGGAAUGAAUGAACUAAAAACCAGGGCUUGAUUUUCAAAUGGGGGUUAUUUUAAUUGCAUACUACCUGAUCAAGGGAAAGUUGUUCAACUAUUUUAAAUUUUAACCUGUUUGUUUCUCCUCUAUACUCCGGAUCUCCUUAUCUUGCUGUGCGUUUCUUUUCUCCAUUUUACAUAUCACCUUCUAACAUGUGUUUAUUAUGUUUUUUGUUUAUUUUCCCACUCUCCUGGCCAUGAUGGAAGUCCAUGAGAGCAAGCAUCUUCGUCCAUUUUGCUCACUGUUGGAUUCCCUGUUUUAAAAAUAUCACCUGGCCCAGCAAAAAUUUCGGAAACCUUCAUCUAGAAAGUGGUCUAGCAAAGUGUGGCCCAUGGAUGAGUUUGAUCUGCAAACUGCUUGUUAUUGGUUCAUGACCAGAAUUGGUUCCAAACAGUAAAGCCUGCCAGAAAAAACAGACAAACUCUCAAGAACAACAAUGCCCAUUAUGUGUGGAGUAGAAGCUGCCAGACUUUGAUUACUGGCCAGACAUUAACCCCUUUGGUGUCUUAGAGGGGAAAAUGCCAAGUCUGAAUCCAGACAUUUCCAGGAUUUUACAGUCAUUCAUGGUGUGAGACCAGGCGAUUUAUAAUGACUUGUGCAAAAAAAAAGACUACUGGGAGAAGGAAGUGCAAGUCAAAGGCCACGUCUACUUGCUUCCUGAAUUCUGCCAUGACUAAUUCCAGCAAGCGGACAUAGACCUGAUCACCUCUGCUUUUCCCUUUGCUAGCCUGCCUGGUCAUGGAUGAGAAGCACGCUGCUCUUGCUACCUUCGUGUGGUGGUUUGGGUCCUGAAACAUCCACCUAUUUUCAGAACAAACUAAAAUAAUUUCUUAAUUUCUUGAGGUCACAUUUGCAUUAUUUGUAAAAUUAAAACAAUGUUACCUAACCCAUGGCUAUAGUGGGAGAGUAGAGAGGGAUUGACACAUAGAAGUUGGUCAGUAAAUGUUAGCUAUCAUCGUCAUCGUUAUCAUCAUUAUCAACAUCAUCAUCCAAGGGUUGGAUGAUGUUUUUGUGUUUUUGUCCAGGUGUCAGAAGGAGGCUGGCAAAUUUGGCACUCACAGAGGGAAACCUAUGUGCUUUGUGAGGUCAUUGCUUACAGUACAACUGCUACCAAGAACAUUCCCUGCAAACUCUUUUGUGAUCAGUUUCUUCCCUUCUCUCAUAUACCCUCUGCAGGUCUACCAAUUGCAUUUUGAGAGCUCAGAUAAGCAGAGAGCAAUGCAAUUGUCACGGAAGGAUGAUUAUGUAUAUGCACUGUCAUGUGUAUGUAUGUGUAUGUAUAUACAGUAUGUGUAUAUAUGCAUAUGUAUAUACCGUAUGUGUAUUUCAUUUGUUCUUUUAUCUUAUCCUUCAAUAUGUAUUUAUUGACAAUUUAUUAUGAGAGGCUGAGAAUACCAAGUUAAUUAUAAUUAAUUAUAAUAAUAGCUACCAUUUAUCAAGAACAUAUUGCAUAUCAACAUUAUGCUAAAUAUUUCAUAUACAUAUACCUUAAUGCAUUUAGUCACUUAAAAAACUUUAUGAAAUAGCCCCAUUUUAUACAUUAGUAAACCGAGUUCCGGAAAACUCAAGGGCAUGCAGCUAGUUAAUGUCAGAGCUAGGAUUCACAUUCAGAUCUCUUUGAUGCAAAACCCAUUCCGUUAAUCACUUUGUUAAAUUGCCUUCCCAAAGAUGAAUAACAUGAUACAAAGGCAUUUACCUGCUUUCUUGGAAUUCACAAUCUGGUUGGCAAGAAAGGCAUAUGAUGCAGAACAUAAAAGGCUAUAUACAGCUAUGUACAAAAUACCACGAUUAACUCAUUCUCUUGCGGGGUGGGAGAAGGUGGGAGAGGCUAGAGGAAGGCCUCAUAGGGCAAGUGGUGCUUGAGCUAUGCCUCUGGGGUGUGGGAUAUUCACGCAGCAGAGAGAGAAAAGGUGGAGGCUGGAGAGGAGAGAGAGAGAGAGAAAGAGAGAGAGAGGGGGAAGGAGGGAGAGAGAGAUUUCAGCUGGGUGUGACUUUGUUUUGUAGGACGAGACGUAGACUUGUUCAGGUGCAAAGAGACAUCUGGAACUAGUUAGUGGGAAGUUCUUCAAGGCUGUUUCUCCACUGACCAAGCCCAUAUAUUUUUCCUCUUUGUUCUCCUUUAGCUAUUUCCAUCCCUAACUCAAAGGAGACACAGGGAGAAAGUGAGCUCAGCCUGGGUAAAUUGGAGGUUGUGAUGACUUCUAGGAAGCCUCAGGAAAGAGAAACAGACAACACUGGCCUGCUGCUCUCUGCAAUGGUGGGACCCUUGUGGGAUAACUGUUUUAGGAAUGAAGGUGUCUACCCUCUCUAGAAAUGAAAAUGCAAGUUUGGCUGUGGUUAAGUAUUGGAUGGAGGCAAAAAGAAACUGACAUAUUUGCUUCUUUUCAAUUGUUUGAUUCACCCUGAAGGGCAUGGCUGCCUAAUUUUUUUCUCCAGAGAUAGGUGGACAGAUAAAGACAGAAAGUAACAUCCACAGACUGCCCUCUGUGAAGGUGACAGUGAUGAAGGGAAUGGUUGAUCUGAACACCGGUAAAUAAAGUGACCGCAUAUUUCCCUAGCCAGGAGAGCAAUCUGGCUCAAAAGAAACGAGAACAAUGACAUUACUGCCAGGCUGCUCCUAAGCCUUUGGCUAUUCUGUUCAGUACACAUAAAAAGCAGUGAACAUAACUGUGACCUGGCUUGUUGGCAACCACAGUAUCACAAUUCUUUGGGGCUCCACUUUGAGAAAUUGAGACCUACCUACUUUAACCCUGGGGGGAGGUUAAGCUUUCAAACUGGAAUGAUAACUGAACUAUUCCUUUGCAGUAAUUCUGGGCUUUGUGCGUAUUUUGAAAAGGAAUACCAGGCUUGCCUAUAUUCAUUACAAAGUCCUCCCAGCUUUCAAAUCUUCCAAUACAACGCCUCUUCUCUAGUGCUUUAAGCACAUCCUGUGACUGGAUAUGAUUAUGGGAGAUUUACAUGCAUCCUUGUCUAUUGUAUCAAAAGAUCAGGGAAUAAAAUGCCCAUCAUUAAAAGCCCAAAGUGAUUGGAUUGGCAUGAGGAAUGGGGAUGGGGCUGGCAUGGAAGAGAGGGUUCUGACUCUGAGAUUUCAUGAAAUGCAAAACAAUAGGACAGCUGCUCUUCCAUAAACAGAUUAUUAUUAUUAUUUCUACCUAGACAGCUUGAUAGCAGCCAUUAUCUUCUUUCUGGGUGUCUUAUCAAGUUCCGGCUGUGUGCAGCAUGGGUGAUAAGGAAUGAGAAAUGUCACCCAUGGGAUUGCCAAGGAUUAUUUCUAUGCACUGCUGUUCAGCAACAGCCAAUCUCUCAGAACUGAGAAGUAGUCCUAUUGUUCACGCUGGGCAGUUGCUAUUCUGACUAUCCCAAGAGAGUAGAAAAGGGAUGUAGUUGCCAUUGUGCAAAAGAUUGAUAUUUCAUUACUCUCAGCUAAAGUUCAAGCAGUCUUGAUUUUGAAAAGCAGAAUCAUCAUGAAAUAUCUUUGAAGAGAGAGAAGACAAGGGAAGAAAAGAAGAAUGAAAUGAGUUCAGAGCUUUUUAGAACUGUGAGGGAGUGCGAAAAAAGAAAGGUGUAAUACUUUCAAACAGUGGAAGUUAAAAUGCCAGGCAUCUAAGCCUCAGUGAAAUUGAGCAGCAUCACAUCACCAUGACUUGUGGUCCAGCUGUUUAUUGCAAAGACUCCAUCCUGCAUUACUCAUCAGAAAAUAGUUAACUUUGUAUCUGGCAUUAUUUGAAUUUUAAAAAACGUUAACUUACUAGAUUUCUGUUUGUCUGUGUUUCAUACAAGCUUCUUGAAUGAAAAUAAUCUGUUGAUAUUUAACAUUUUUCCUUCCUUCUCAAUAAGAAAAUAAAUGUUUUAUUAUACAUGCAGAUGUGCCAGCUAAAUAUUUCAGGAAAAAAAAUCUGUUUGUCGUUUUGUUCCAGUAUCUCAGCUUUCCAAACCUGUAUCUUCCCAGAGAAAAGACUGCAUUAGAAAAAAAUUAAAACUAAAGUGUAUGACUAACCCGUAGUGUAUUCAUAGAGAAUUCCCCCCAAAGUGUUCUGAGUGCUUUAGUCUUCUUUAUACAUGGUUUUAGGGUCAUGCUGAUAUUAUAAUAUAAGCUGCUUGGAAGUGAGCCAAGUCAAAUUUUUCCAACAUUUUAAAUCACUAUUCUGAAACUGGAAUUUCAAAUGAAUAAAAUGCUUUGCUCUUAAACCAACGACUUCAGAAAUGAGAUCCUACUCAGGAAUUAUUACAGUGGGAAGUGAGACGAGGUUGGGAAGGUAAAGGGCAAAAGGAGGGCAUGGAGGGAGAAAGGAGGAUGCAGGAAAAGAGGAAGGAGCUUUGACUCCCCUGUGAUGCAUGAGCUCCAGGAGGGCAAGAGCCUUCCCUUUAUGUUUGUACAACACCUCCUACAGAGUAAGCACUCAGGGGAUAUUUGUUAAAUGAAUUAGUGAGAGGGGCAUAGAAAAAAAGCUUUUGGUAUUAAGAUAUGCAAAGGAAUAUUCCCCUAACAAAAUACAUUAUUUUAGUUUUUCAGCCCUUAAGCAUUUACUAGGAAACGUAGAGAUUCUCCAACUUUAAUACACAUAUUAAUUACCUGAGAGCCUUGUAAAAAAAUCCAGAUUCUGAUUUAGUAGGCCUGGGAUAGGCUGAGAGAUUCUGCAUUUCUAUGAAGCUCCCAAGGGAUGCAGAUGCUACUGGCUCAUGGAAUACGCUCUGAAUAACAAUGUGUUAGAGUAGUGCAUGGGGUACUGGGCUGGGGGUCAUGAGCUCUGAGUUCUAAUCUCUGACAUGACCCACCUGUGCUUUUAAGCCAGAGGAUUAGCUUUCCUAGUCUGUCUCCCCAUGUAGCUAAUGACUGGUUGGAUCUACAAAAUUUCUAGAGUUCUUACAGCCUUAAUAUUUUGAAAGUUAAAAAGAAAAGAAAGGACUUAGAGAAUGCCCAGUUUAACUCUGUGUCUUGAAAUCCUGGGGAGGCAAAAUCACUUCCUUCCAAAGUUGCACAGGGGAUUUGUCCUGUGUGAAUUGUGCUACAGCUGAUUCCCUGGUUUCUAGUACAGUAAUUUUUCCACUCCCAUUUCUUUUGUCAUUAUUAUUUCUUGUGGAAUACUUAGAAUUUGUCUGAUGCUAUGCUAGGUGCUGGGAAUACGAAGACGCAUUAGAAAUACAUUAUUAUAAUUUAUUAUCAAAUUCCUUGCUUGAGUAACAUGCUGAAGAUGACAACUAAUCCCUGCAAAUGUGUAACAUGUGUGCUGAUAUUAGGGUUCCCCCUUCCAUGGUAUAAUAAUGGCUACAAUAGAAUGUUUGCAACAAUGACCGAAUUCUCCAAUUCUCCCCAUAUCCAUCCAUUCCCUUUUCUAUGUGAUUUUGCAGCUUAUCAUAUCAAAAAGUGGAAUUUCUUUCCCCAGCCCUUGACUCUGGAAUGGUCUGUGAUUUGCUUUUACCAAGAGAAUGCAGUGGAAGGAACGACAUGCCAGCUCUACACCCCGGUCUGAAGAGGCCAUACCCACUUUUGUUACUUCUCUCAGGAUCCUGCUGCUGCCAUAAGAACAAGCCUGGGGUAGCCUCCUGGAGGAUGAACGUUCACAAGUGACCUACCAUCCCAGAGGAGGCCAACUUAGAGCAGCCUACACCUAGCCAUCUACAAAUAUGUGUGGAAGUCCAACCAAGAGCAACAGAGCUGCUUACUCAACCCACAGCUGACCACCGAUGCACAAGUGAGCUCAGAUGAGGCCAGAACUGCUCAGCUGAGCCAUAAGCUUGUGAGCAAUAAUAAACUUUUGAAGCCACUUAGUUUUGGGAGGCUUUGUUUUGCAGCAUGGCUAAGUGGUAUGAUGGCCUUCUGGAUGCAAAGCUUUAUCUGAAAUAAAUGGUUCUAGUUUGAGUUCUCCCUGGAAGAUAGUAGGUGAGAUGUCUUGGGACUGGCACAGGCUUUGCUGCUUCUUCCAUAUUUCUGAGAUGCUUUUCACUUAAAAAGGAGGGGAGCUAGCUCAUGCUAUUUUUACUUUACUGAUAAAAGAAAGAUAUGGCCAGUGAAGUUAAGUUUAGAGAUUAAAGCUCAAGGUAACACACAUGUAUAUCCCUUUUUUUAAAAGAAGCAUAAAAGAGCCAUGAUCUGAGAUCACAAAAGAAAAUGAAUGCUUUAGUCUUGGCUUUGCCAUGUAUGUUAUCUUGAGCUUCAGAGUUAUUCUUGGUAAACAAAUGUAACUAUGGCUGCCUGCCUUCCUUCAAAGAUGGUAUAAGAGUGAACACAUAUAAUAAAUAUAAAAAUGUCCUGUAAACUCUUAAGUGGUACACAAAUAUAACUUCUUUCGAACAUUGUACUAUAUUUUGUUUUCACAUAAUAGUAUCUAGUACUUAUUGAGAACUCAUAACUCCCUUUAUAAGUAUAAUAAUAGCUAUGACAUAUACAUUUUAUAGUUCUCAGGUUGCUUUUAUAUAAAUUAUCUCUCUUUGAUUCUUCAAUGGUGCCCUGAAAAACAUAUUUUUAUUUUCUCAUUUUGCAGAUGCAGAACCU
Symphalangus syndactylus (siamang) is the source of this 9973-nucleotide RNA transcript. RefSeq lists it as uncharacterized. The record is from RefSeq and is a predicted model, not a curated record. NCBI's taxonomy places the organism in Eukaryota, Metazoa, Chordata, Mammalia, Primates, Hylobatidae.